AAAGUACUGAAAACUCUUAAAUCUAUACCAGUAGCCAUUUUAUAGUAAUUUUUUCUUUCAUCUGUAAAUAAAAUUUUUAUAUAUUUAAUUCUUCUGUAGAAUUCAAAUAUAAACUAAAAUUUAAUUUCUUUACAGAUAAAAAAAAAAGUAGUGUGGAGCAACCAGCAAGUAUUCAUCUGUCGUCUAGUUAUAGUACAGUAUCACCAGAUUCAACUCCUAGAAGCAUGACUAUUAAUAAUUAUUAUGGUUUGAAAGACAUUUCAGAGGAAACAACAAUCCAGAAAAUGGAAAGGAUGAAAAAAAUGUUUGAAGAGACUGCAGAAUUACUGAAAUGCUCAAGUCACUAACUGUAGAGUGUUCUGCAUGAAGUUCUCUAAGAGUUUGGCUACUUUUAUAUAUUGUCUGUUUUAAGAAUUCCUUAUAUAAUUUUAAUAUACUGAAAUAUUUUAUUAAGGAUUUGGGUUCUGUUUGGUAUGUGAGUUUUUUCAUUAUUGAAUAAAUA
Molecule: long non-coding RNA, 502 nt
Filed under: Nannospalax galili (Upper Galilee mountains blind mole rat)
Lineage: Eukaryota; Metazoa; Chordata; Mammalia; Rodentia; Spalacidae
Description: lncRNA (ENSNGAG00000024390.1)
Source: RNAcentral